GCUAAGACUGGAUAGGAAGAUAAAAGGCAUCUUUUAUCUUUUAAAAGACCUAGUAAUAGGUAUGCUUUAGGAGGGGCUUGCGCCAUAUUAGUUAGUUGGUAGGGUAAUGGCCUACCAAGACGAUGAUGUGUAGCUGGACUGAGAGGUUGAACAGCCACAUUGGGACUGAGACACGGCCCAAACUCCUACGGGAGGCAGCAGUAGGGAAUUUUCGGCAAUGGAGGAAACUCUGACCGAGCAACGCCGCGUGAAUGACGAAGUACUUCGGUAUGUAAAGUUCUUUUAUCAAGGAAGAAAAGCAAAUGGCGAACCAUUUGUUUGCCGGUACUUGAUGAAUAAGCCCCGGCUAAUUAUGUGCCAGCAGCCGCGGUAAGACAUAAGGGGCAAGUGUUAUCCGGAAUUAUUGGGCGUAAAGGGUGCGUAGGCGGUCUAGUAAGUCAGUGGUGUAAUGGCAACGCUUAACGUUGUCCGGCUAUUGAAACUGCUAAACUUGAGUUAGAUAGAGGCGAGUGGAAUUCCAUGUGUAGCGGUAAAAUGCGUAAAUAUAUGGAGGAACACCAGAGGCGUAGGCGGCUCGCUGGGUCUUAACUGACGCUGAGGCACGAAAGCGUGGGGAGCAAACAGGAUUAGAUACCCUGGUAGUCCACGCCGUAAACGAUGAGUACUAAGUGUCGGGUUAAACCGGUACUGAAGUUAACACAUUAAGUACUCCGCCUGAGUAGUACGUACGCAAGUAUGAAACUUAAAGGAAUUGACGGGACUCCGCACAAGCGGUGGAUCAUGUUGUUUAAUUCGAAGAUACCCGAAAAACCUUACCAGGUCUUGACAUGUUUUUGCAAAAUGAUAGUAAUAUCGUGGAGGUUACCAGAAACACAGGUGGUGCAUGGUUGUCGUCAGCUCGUGUCGUGAGAUGUUAGGUUAAGUCCUAAAACGAGCGAAACCCUUAUCGUUAGUUGCCAGCACGUUAUGGUGGGGACUUUAACGAGACUGCCAAUGAUAAAUUGGAGGAAGGUGAGGAUCACGUCAAAUCAGCAUGCCCCUUAUGACCUGGGCUACAAACGUGAUACAAUGGCUGUUACAAAGGGUAGCUGAAACGCAAGUUCUUGGCCAAUCCCCAAAAACAGUCCCAGUCCGGAUUGAAGUCUGCAACUCGACUUCAUGAAGUUGGAAUCGCUAGUAAUCGCGAAUCAGCAUGUCGCGGUGAAUACGUUCUCGGGGUUUGUACACACCGCCCGUCAAACCACGAAAGUUGGCAAUACCCCAAAACGGUAGCCUAACU
RNAcentral lists this ribosomal RNA (1279 nucleotides) under 'Dendrocalamus strictus' phytoplasma. Its description in RNAcentral is "bacterial SSU rRNA". It matches the Rfam family "Bacterial small subunit ribosomal RNA", at positions 162 to 1440 of the family's 1533-position model. Lineage: Bacteria; Bacillati; Mycoplasmatota; Mollicutes; Acholeplasmatales; Acholeplasmataceae. The record is from RNAcentral.